This 440-nucleotide ribosomal RNA is filed under the name uncultured bacterium. Its description in RNAcentral is "bacterial SSU rRNA". It matches the Rfam family "Bacterial small subunit ribosomal RNA", at positions 338 to 795 of the family's 1533-position model. The record is from RNAcentral.
CCUACGGGUGGCAGCAGUGGGGAAUAUUGGACAAUGGGCGAAAGCCUGAUCCAGCCAUGCCGCGUGGAUGAUGACGGCCCUAGGGUUGUAAAGUCCUUUCGACGGGGAAGAUAAUGACGGUACCCGUAGAAGAAGCCCCGGCUAACUUCGUGCCAGCAGCCGCGGUAAUACGAAGGGGGCUAGCGUUGCUCGGAAUCACUGGGCGUAAAGCGCACGUAGGCGGCUUUCUAAGUCAGGGGUGAAAUCCUGGAGCUCAACUCCAGAACUGCCUUUGAUACUGGAGAGCUUGAGUUCGGGAGAGGUGAGUGGAACUGCGAGUGUAGAGGUGAAAUUCGUAGAUAUUCGCAAGAACACCAGUGGCGAAGGCGGCUCACUGGCCCGAUACUGACGCUGAGGUGCGAAAGCGUGGGGAGCAAACAGGAUUAGAUACCCUAGUAGUC